Molecule: long non-coding RNA, 854 nt
Organism: Oncorhynchus gorbuscha (pink salmon)
Lineage: Eukaryota; Metazoa; Chordata; Actinopteri; Salmoniformes; Salmonidae
Exons: 2
Source: RefSeq, a predicted model, not a curated record
CUGAGCAGAGAGGAUGCUGGGAAAUACACCCUCAUGGCUUUGAACCGUAUCGGAAGAGCCAAUCACACAGUGGAGGUGGAGGUCCUACAUGGCCGUGCUGCUAGAGGAGCUUCCUGUCAGGCUGCUGGGAGUGCCACGGUGGCUGUGCUGCUCCACCAGCUCAUUUAUUGGCUAUAUUGAAUGAUUAUUUUAUUGAUUGAACGGUUGAGUUAUUCAUUGACCAAUCAGGACACCGAUCUCUGUGCUGGAGCUUUGUGAUUUGACAGUGAUCUGUGAGGUCAGUCUUCAAUAGAUCUGGAAUCAGAGUUAGUAGAAAACCCUUUUUGCCUAAAUGUGAAAUGAGCUGUUUUGAAAUGUGUUAUUUUGAAGUAGUGCUAUUGAACAGGUCUGUAGUUAAGCAAUAAGGCCUGAGGGGGUGUGGUAUAUGUCCAAUAUACCACGGCUAUGGGCUGUUCUUAUGCACGUCACAACGGUAUAAAUGUUUAUUCCAAAUCCUAACCUUAAAUGUUUAUUACUAUUAAACUAUAUAAAUGUUUCGGCCUAAUCCUAACCUUAAAUGUUUAUUACUAAUAAACUAUAGAAAUGUUUCGGCCUAAUCCUAACCCUAACCCUAAUCCUAACCCUAACCCUAACCCUAACCCUAACCCUAACCCUAAUCCUAAUCCUAACCCUAAUCCUAACCCUAACCCUAACCCUAACCCUAAUCCUAACCCUAAUCCUAACCCUAAUCCUAACCCUAAUCCUAAUCCUAAUCCUAACCCAGUCUCUAGCAACAGAUCUGCCAUAAUCCUUAUUGCAAUGUGUUUGUUGUCUAUGUCUUUUGAGACGAAUAAAAGUUGACCCAUAAACUGUCA